RNAcentral lists this long non-coding RNA (698 nucleotides) under Glycine max (soybean). Its description in RNAcentral is "long non-coding RNA (GMAX_LNC000037)". Lineage: Eukaryota; Viridiplantae; Streptophyta; Magnoliopsida; Fabales; Fabaceae. The record is from RNAcentral.
AAAAACCAAAGCCUUCUUCACCCCUACAUGCUUAGACCCACUAUAGAUUGCUUUAUCUGUCCCAGUGGCCUUCCAAUACCCAGACACGGUUGCUCUAUUAGGCCUCACCCCAUUUGGAUACUUCCUCUCUCGUGGGCUAAAGAAGUACCACUCCUUUUCUCCAAAGUCUGUUUUAUCUGUAUUUCAUGAGCAAUCAACAUGUAAGAACAAGUGAAACAUGCACAUGAAACAUAUUAUAAGGUUCAACAUAUUCAAAUAUAGACAAUAUUCACACAGGUUUUAUUUUUUUUUUUAUCUGUCAAAAAUAAAAGAACUGUGUCACGGUAUUUGCAAUAUAACUCACGCAUUCUAGUCAACCAAGUGAGUUAAAUUUCUUUAUAAGCACAAAGGUUUGAUUACCAGGUAAUUCCCAUGGAUCAAACUUAUAGAUAUCCACUUCUGGAAUGAUUGAUGCAGGGCAUGGCCUUGAUGAGGCUUGGUUGCAAAGGUAGUACACAAUUAGUUCCUCAUCAGUGGGGUGAAACCUGAAGCCAGGUGGGAGUACAGAGCUUGUUCUAUUCUCCAUUGAGUUAAAAUGAAAAUCAAAACAAGUUUGAAUGGGAAACUAUAUGGAACAGUUUUCUAUUGGCUUCUUUUGCUAGUUAUGGGGACUAGAGAAGGGAAAGGAUUUUUUUGUAAGGAGAAAAUUGAAAGCAAGG